This is a long non-coding RNA of Rhipicephalus sanguineus (brown dog tick), 241 nucleotides long. RefSeq lists it as uncharacterized. The record is from RefSeq and is a predicted model, not a curated record. Lineage: Eukaryota; Metazoa; Arthropoda; Arachnida; Ixodida; Ixodidae. The transcript has 3 exons.
CCGCUGCCGAGGAUUUGACGCGAACUCCUGGCAGAUCAGAAAUGUUCAGGCGAACGGCGGUUAUAUUUGUCCGUGGACCCAAGACUUCGUUGACGGGCAAAUAUGGAACGCUGCAACAAGGACUGGUGUGGAUAGCGUGUUGCGCUGGUCUCGCCAACUGAAAAAAUUCUCGGUAAGACGCAUGCUUGGUUACAAAAGUCUCACGCAAUCGCUUUUCACAUUGAAUUGGUCGCAGGUGUGC